RNAcentral lists this ribosomal RNA (459 nucleotides) under uncultured bacterium. Its description in RNAcentral is "bacterial SSU rRNA". It matches the Rfam family "Bacterial small subunit ribosomal RNA", at positions 48 to 498 of the family's 1533-position model. The record is from RNAcentral.
CUAACACAUGCAAGUCGAGGGGUAACAGAGAGAAGCUUGCUUUUCUGCUGACGACCGGCGCACGGGUGCGUAACGCAUAUACAAUCUGCCUUAUACAGAGGGAUAGCCUUUAGAAAUGAAGAUUAAUACCUUAUAGUCUAUUUUUAUAGCAUUAUAUAAAUAGUAAAGCUUCGGUGGUAUAAGAUGAGUAUGCGUCCUAUUAGUUAGUUGGUAAGGUAACGGCUUACCAAGACAACGAUAGGUAGGGGCCCUGAGAGGGGGAUCCCCCACACUGGUACUGAGACACGGACCAGACUCCUACGGGAGGCAGCAGUGAGGAAUAUUGGACAAUGGAGGCAACUCUGAUCCAGCCAUGCCGCGUGCAGGAUGACGGCCCUAUGGGUUGUAAACUGCUUUUAUAUAGGAAGAAACCUUUUCACGUGUGAGAAGCUGACGGUACUAUAAGAAUAAGGACCGGCU